RNAcentral lists this ribosomal RNA (2825 nucleotides) under Klebsiella pneumoniae. RNAcentral describes it as "bacterial LSU rRNA". It matches the Rfam family "Bacterial large subunit ribosomal RNA". The record is from RNAcentral. Lineage: Bacteria; Pseudomonadati; Pseudomonadota; Gammaproteobacteria; Enterobacterales; Enterobacteriaceae.
GGGUUGUGAGGUUAAGCGACUAAGCGUACACGGUGGAUGCCCUGGCAGUCAGAGGCGAUGAAGGACGUGCUAAUCUGCGAAAAGCGUCGGUAAGGUGAUAUGAACCGUUAUAACCGGCGAUGUCCGAAUGGGGAAACCCAGUGCAAUUCGUUGCACUAUCGUUAACUGAAUACAUAGGUUAACGAGGCGAACCGGGGGAACUGAAACAUCUAAGUACCCCGAGGAAAAGAAAUCAACCGAGAUUCCCCCAGUAGCGGCGAGCGAACGGGGAGCAGCCCAGAGUCUGAAUCAGCUUGUGUGUUAGUGGAACGGUCUGGAAAGUCCGACGGUACAGGGUGAUAGUCCCGUACACCAAAAUGCACAGGCUGUGAACUCGAAGAGUAGGGCGGGACACGUGGUAUCCUGUCUGAAUAUGGGGGGACCAUCCUCCAAGGCUAAAUACUCCUGACUGACCGAUAGUGAACCAGUACCGUGAGGGAAAGGCGAAAAGAACCCCGGCGAGGGGAGUGAAAAAGAACCUGAAACCGUGUACGUACAAGCAGUGGGAGCACCUUCGGGUGUGACUGCGUACCUUUUGUAUAAUGGGUCAGCGACUUAUAUUCUGUAGCAAGGUUAACCGUAUAGGGGAGCCGCAGGGAAACCGAGUCUUAACUGGGCGUUAAGUUGCAGGGUAUAGACCCGAAACCCGGUGAUCUAGCCAUGGGCAGGUUGAAGGUUGGGUAACACUAACUGGAGGACCGAACCGACUAAUGUUGAAAAAUUAGCGGAUGACUUGUGGCUGGGGGUGAAAGGCCAAUCAAACCGGGAGAUAGCUGGUUCUCCCCGAAAGCUAUUUAGGUAGCGCCUCGUGAAUUCAUCUUCGGGGGUAGAGCACUGUUUCGGCUAGGGGGUCAUCCCGACUUACCAACCCGAUGCAAACUACGAAUACCGAAGAAUGUUAUCACGGGAGACACACGGCGGGUGCUAACGUCCGUCGUGAAGAGGGAAACAACCCAGACCGCCAGCUAAGGUCCCAAAGUCAUGGUUAAGUGGGAAACGAUGUGGGAAGGCACAGACAGCCAGGAUGUUGGCUUAGAAGCAGCCAUCAUUUAAAGAAAGCGUAAUAGCUCACUGGUCGAGUCGGCCUGCGCGGAAGAUGUAACGGGGCUAAACCAUGCACCGAAGCUGCGGCAGCGACACUAUGUGUUGUUGGGUAGGGGAGCGUUCUGUAAGCCUGCGAAGGUGACCUGUGAGGGUUGCUGGAGGUAUCAGAAGUGCGAAUGCUGACAUAAGUAACGAUAAAGCGGGUGAAAAGCCCGCUCGCCGGAAGACCAAGGGUUCCUGUCCAACGUUAAUCGGGGCAGGGUGAGUCGACCCCUAAGGCGAGGCCGAAAGGCGUAGUCGAUGGGAAACAGGUUAAUAUUCCUGUACUUGGUGUUACUGCGAAGGGGGGACGGAGAAGGCUAUGUUAGCCGGGCGACGGUUGUCCCGGUUUAAGCAUGUAGGCUGGUUAUCCAGGCAAAUCCGGAUAAUCAAGGCUGAGGUGUGAUGACGAGGCACUACGGUGCUGAAGUAACAAAUGCCCUGCUUCCAGGAAAAGCCUCUAAGCAUCAGGUAACAUUGAAUCGUACCCCAAACCGACACAGGUGGUCAGGUAGAGAAUACCAAGGCGCUUGAGAGAACUCGGGUGAAGGAACUAGGCAAAAUGGUGCCGUAACUUCGGGAGAAGGCACGCUGGUGUGUAGGUGAAGCCCCUGCGGGUGGAGCUGAGACCAGUCGAAGAUACCAGCUGGCUGCAACUGUUUAUUAAAAACACAGCACUGUGCAAACACGAAAGUGGACGUAUACGGUGUGACGCCUGCCCGGUGCCGGAAGGUUAAUUGAUGGGGUUAUCCGUAAGGAGAAGCUCUUGAUCGAAGCCCCGGUAAACGGCGGCCGUAACUAUAACGGUCCUAAGGUAGCGAAAUUCCUUGUCGGGUAAGUUCCGACCUGCACGAAUGGCGUAAUGAUGGCCAGGCUGUCUCCACCCGAGACUCAGUGAAAUUGAACUCGCUGUGAAGAUGCAGUGUACCCGCGGCAAGACGGAAAGACCCCGUGAACCUUUACUAUAGCUUGACACUGAACAUUGAGCCUUGAUGUGUAGGAUAGGUGGGAGGCUUUGAAGCGUGGACGCCAGUCUGCGUGGAGCCAACCUUGAAAUACCACCCUUUAAUGUUUGAUGUUCUAACGUUGGCCCCUGACCGGGGUUGCGGACAGUGUCUGGUGGGUAGUUUGACUGGGGCGGUCUCCUCCCAAAGCGUAACGGAGGAGCACGAAGGUUAGCUAAUCCUGGUCGGACAUCAGGAGGUUAGUGCAAUGGCAUAAGCUAGCUUGACUGCGAGCGUGACGGCGCGAGCAGGUGCGAAAGCAGGUCAUAGUGAUCCGGUGGUUCUGAAUGGAAGGGCCAUCGCUCAACGGAUAAAAGGUACUCCGGGGAUAACAGGCUGAUACCGCCCAAGAGUUCAUAUCGACGGCGGUGUUUGGCACCUCGAUGUCGGCUCAUCACAUCCUGGGGCUGAAGUAGGUCCCAAGGGUAUGGCUGUUCGCCAUUUAAAGUGGUACGCGAGCUGGGUUUAGAACGUCGUGAGACAGUUCGGUCCCUAUCUGCCGUGGGCGCUGGAGAAUUGAGGGGGGCUGCUCCUAGUACGAGAGGACCGGAGUGGACGCAUCACUGGUGUUCGGGUUGUCAUGCCAAUGGCACUGCCCGGUAGCUAAAUGCGGAAGAGAUAAGUGCUGAAAGCAUCUAAGCACGAAACUUGCCCCGAGAUGAGUUCUCCCUGAGACUUUAAGUCUCCUGAAGGAACGUU